GGCCUGGUGGUCUAGUAGUAUGAUUCCUUGUUAGGGUUGUUCUGAUAUCUCGAGGAGGUCCCGGGUUCAAUUCCCGGCCAGGCCC
Molecule: transfer RNA, 85 nt
Filed under: Leucogyrophana mollusca
Lineage: Eukaryota; Fungi; Basidiomycota; Agaricomycetes; Boletales
Description: tRNA-Pro
Rfam family: tRNA
About the family: Transfer RNA (tRNA) molecules are approximately 80 nucleotides in length. Their secondary structure includes four short double-helical elements and three loops (D, anti-codon, and T loops). Further hydrogen bonds mediate the characteristic L-shaped molecular structure. tRNAs have two regions of fundamental functional importance: the anti-codon, which is responsible for specific mRNA codon recognition, and the 3' end, to which the tRNAs corresponding amino acid is attached (by aminoacyl-tRNA synthetases). tRNAs cope with the degeneracy of the genetic code in two manners: having more than one tRNA (with a specific anti-codon) for a particular amino acid; and 'wobble' base-pairing, i.e. permitting non-standard base-pairing at the 3rd anti-codon position.
Source: RNAcentral